RNAcentral lists this ribosomal RNA (447 nucleotides) under uncultured bacterium. RNAcentral's name for it is "partial 16S ribosomal RNA". It matches the Rfam family "Bacterial small subunit ribosomal RNA", at positions 29 to 507 of the family's 1533-position model. The record is from RNAcentral.
AACGAACGCUGGCGGCAUGCCUAACACAUGCAAGUCGAACGAUGCCUUCGGGCAUAGUGGCGCACGGGUGCGUAACGCGUGGGAAUCUGCCCUUGGCUUCGGAAUAACAGUUAGAAAUGACUGCUAAUACCGGAUGAUGUCCCCCUGAGAGAUCAUGGGGACCAAAGAUUUAUCGGCCAGGGAUGAGCCCGCGUAGGAUUAGGUAGUUGGUGGGGUAAAGGCCUACCAAGCCGACGAUCCUUAGCUGGUCUGAGAGGAUGAUCAGCCACACUGGGACUGAGACACGGCCCAGACUCCUACGGGAGGCAGCAGUGGGGAAUAUUGGACAAUGGGGGGAACCCUGAUCCAGCAAUGCCGCGUGAGUGAUGAAGGCCUUAGGGUUGUAAAGCUCUUUUACCAGGGAUGAUAAUGACAGUACCUGGAGAAUAAGCUCCGGCUAACUCCGUG